AAACUUAAAGGAAUUGACGGGGGCCCGCACAAGCAGCGGAGCAUGUGGUUUAAUUCGAAGCAACGCGAAGAACCUUACCUAGACUUGACAUCCCCUGAAUUACCUGUAAUGAGGGAAGCCCUUCGGGGCAGGGAGACAGGUGGUGCAUGGUUGUCGUCAGCUCGUGUCGUGAGAUGUUAGGUUAAGUCCUGCAACGAGCGCAACCCUUAUCAUUAGUUGCUACCAUUAAGUUGAGCACUCUAGUGAGACUGCCCGGGUUAACCGGGAGGAAGGUGGGGAUGACGUCAAAUCAUCAUGCCCCUUAUGUCUAGGGCUACACACGUGCUACAAUGGUGAGUACAGAAAGAUGCAAGACCGUGAGGUGGAGCAAAACUUUUAAAACUCAUCUCAGUUCGGAUUGUAGGCUGAAACUCGCCUACAUGAAGCUGGAGUUGCUAGUAAUCGCGAAUCAGCAUGUCGCGGUGAAUACGUUCCCGGGCCUUGUACACACCGCCCGUCACACCAUGAGAGCUGGCAACACCCGAAGUCCGUGAGGUAACCGUAAGGAGCCAGCGGCCGAAGGUGGGGUUAGUAAUUGGGGUGAAGUCGUAACAAGGUAGCCGUAGGAGAACCUGCGGCUGGAUCACCUCCUUUCUG
Molecule: ribosomal RNA, 636 nt
Filed under: uncultured Clostridium sp.
Lineage: Bacteria; Bacillati; Bacillota; Clostridia; Eubacteriales; Clostridiaceae
Description: bacterial SSU rRNA
Rfam family: Bacterial small subunit ribosomal RNA
Source: RNAcentral